UUUAAUUAUCAUAUAUAAAAGUGAAAAUAUAAAAUAUAAAUUAAUUUUAGUUGGGGCAACUGGGACGGAUAAAAAUCUUUUAUUAAAUCAUUUAUAGUAAUAUUUAUAUUUAUGAUCCAAAUUAGUUAAUUUUGAACUUAGAAU
This 144-nucleotide ribosomal RNA is filed under the name Ledella ultima. RNAcentral's name for it is "partial small subunit ribosomal RNA". Lineage: Eukaryota; Metazoa; Mollusca; Bivalvia; Nuculanida sp.; Nuculanidae. The record is from RNAcentral.